Molecule: ribosomal RNA, 360 nt
Filed under: uncultured fungus
Lineage: Eukaryota; Fungi
Description: bacterial SSU rRNA
Rfam family: Eukaryotic small subunit ribosomal RNA
Source: RNAcentral
AGUCUGCAUGUCUAGUAUAAGCAAUUUUACAGUGAAACUGCGAAUGGCUCAUUAAAUCAGUUAUCGUUUAUUUGAUAAUCCUUUACUACAUGGAUACCUGUGGUAAUUCUAGAGCUAAUACAUGCUUCAAAACCCAGCCUCUGGUUGGGUUGCACUUAUUAGAUAAAAAACCAAUGCUCCUUUGGGGCUUCUUGGUGAUUCAUAGUAAUUUAGCGGACCGCAUGGCCUUGAGCCGGCGGUGGAUCAUUCAAAUUUCUGCCCUAUCAACUUUCGAUGGUAGGAUAGUGGCCUACCAUGGUUUCAACGGGUAACGGGGAAUGGGGCGGGGGCGGCGGGCCGGGCGCGGGGCGCGGCGGGCGA